AUGUUGACUCCAAAGGAUCCCACAGUUGUGUCAAGUUGGCUGGAUGUCAUUUGGGUAAGAGGCAACAUCUAGAAGAUCAGAGUGAGAAAAAUAAAUUAUAGCUUUCAUACGACCGUCCCCAGGGAACAUGAGAAAUAAUCUCUCGCCCUGGCUCCUUUCAUGAAAACACAUUUCAUUGAAUUUCGAAAGAAUGGAGGAAUACGUCCAUUGUUGUUGGAGGUCUGUAAACAGUGAGCAGAUGUAUGGUAGAAAAUACAGAAGGUACCCGAUUUUAAAUCAGGACUCAAUGCCAACCACUCCAUCUGUCAUUGUCUG
Molecule: long non-coding RNA, 315 nt
Filed under: Salmo salar (Atlantic salmon)
Lineage: Eukaryota; Metazoa; Chordata; Actinopteri; Salmoniformes; Salmonidae
Description: lncRNA (ENSSSAG00000099265.1, ENSSSAG00075021851.1)
Source: RNAcentral